This 252-nucleotide ribosomal RNA is filed under the name uncultured bacterium. RNAcentral describes it as "partial 16S ribosomal RNA". It matches the Rfam family "Bacterial small subunit ribosomal RNA", at positions 118 to 369 of the family's 1533-position model. The record is from RNAcentral.
UGGGCAACCUGCCCCUCUCUCUGGGAUAACCCCGGGAAACCGGAGCUAAUACCGGAUACUCCGGCUGGAUCGCAUGGUCCGGCCGGGAAAGGUCCGCCGGAGAGGGAUGGGCCCGCGGCCUAUCAGCUUGUUGGUGGGGUCAUGGCCUACCAAGGCGACGACGGGUAGCCGGCCUGAGAGGGCGACCGGCCACACUGGGACUGAGACACGGCCCAGACUCCUACGGGAGGCAGCAGGUGGGGAAUAUUGCAA